UGGUGGGAAAAGCUCUGCAGCAGUUCCAGUCACAGCUGGCUGGGCACCUGGCUUGGUGAGCUGGCUGAGGAAAAAAAAAACCCCACCUGUCUCAACCAACUUUUCCAGAUUUCUCAGAGCUGAGUAAUGACUGCCAGAAAUCAAAACCCAAAUGGUGAAAGCAUGGAGGGCUCCAAUCCUGUGGUGAUGCUCUGCACAGCACCUCUGCGUUUCUGAGUCCUGCUCACUCUGAGAGUGUGACCAAGCUCAGGAGAGAAAAUUAGCCAAGGGAAGGAAUCUUUUAUCUGUCUUAAUUAGGCAUUAAUGAAACCUGUCACUGACUCUCCCCUGCAGUUACCAGCCAGCCAAUGGGACACAGUAUUCCAGUGCAUCAUCUGCUGUGACGGUGUUCACAGGGGUCCCAGGAUGAAGGAAGAGAUGAGGAUCUGACUCCAUGUUUCAGAAGGCUUGAUUUAUUAUUUUACCAUAUAUAUUACAUUAAAACUAUACUAAAAGAAUUUCAUCAGAAAUACUAAAAGGAUUUCAUCAGAAAGCCAGCUAAGAAUAGCAAAGAAUGAUAACAAAGGUUUGUGGCUCGGGCUCUCUGUCCGAGCCAGCUGGGCUGUGAUUGACCAUUAACCAGAAACAUCCAACAUGGGCCAAUCACAGAUGCACCUGUUGCAUUCCACAGCAGCAGAUAAUCAAUGUUUACAUUUUGUUCCUGAGGCCUGUCAGCUUCUCAGGAGGAAAAAUCCUAAGGAAAGGAUUUUCAUGAAAAGAUGUC
Long non-coding RNA from Zonotrichia leucophrys gambelii, 763 nucleotides. RefSeq lists it as uncharacterized. The transcript has 3 exons. The record is from RefSeq and is a predicted model, not a curated record. Lineage: Eukaryota; Metazoa; Chordata; Aves; Passeriformes; Passerellidae.